AGCAACUUGACGCAGUGGAAGCGUGCAGGGCUCAUAGUCUCGUGGCCACCCUGAAGUCCCUGGAUCGAAACCAGGAGUUGCUA
This 83-nucleotide transfer RNA is filed under the name Lentinus tigrinus ALCF2SS1-7. Its description in RNAcentral is "tRNA-Met". Lineage: Eukaryota; Fungi; Basidiomycota; Agaricomycetes; Polyporales; Polyporaceae. RNAcentral also lists the same sequence under 1 other name. The record is from RNAcentral.